UAUUAAAAAAGUUAAAAAUUAUUACAAAAUUUUGUACAUUAUUAAUUAAUUUAAAUCUAUAGUAAUAGAAAAUUACCAGAAAAAAGAAUAUAUUUACGCGUUCACAUUAUUGAAAUAACGUCCUACACGCUAUAAGCGAAAUGUGACACUGAGCAAACAAAAUAUUAAGAAGUAGACAUAUACAAGAAAAGAAUCGACGAUGAAGGGUCAACGACAUUUCAGUAAACAGAGAAAUUAGGUAAUAAGAGAAAUGUCAGAGCAUCAAAAUAUGACAAGAUUACGAGUAUUUAUUUUCAUUGAGAAAGUGUGUAUAAUAAUUAUUAAGAUUUUGUAUGUCAUCCCUUUUAUUAAUCGGGUUAAUUUGUAAAUUAAUAUAAAUCAUUUCUGAUAUUAAACGUUUUUUGUAAUUAUCCUCUCUGUCAAGAAUUGCAAAAUUAACAAAAUCAAAUCUGUGUUUUAAAGAAUCACAAUGAUGUGCAACUAUAUUAUCUUUAGAAUUUUUAUGUUCAUUAAUUCGGACGCCAACCAUUCUUUUUGACUGUCCAACAUAUGAGGCAGAGCAAUCAUGACAAUUAAUCUUAUAAACAGUAUUAGUAUUUUCAGUUUUUUUAUUUUUGUCUUUAUAUUUAACGAUAAGAUUGUGACUCAUAUUAAUAUUACUAAUAGGAAUAGUUAAAAUGUUGUAAUUCUUUAAUAAGAAUGAAACAUUCUCAAAAAGAUUAGGAACAUAAGGUAAAAAGACCUUGGGUAACAUAUUGUAUAUUGUCCUAUUAUUAUUAUAAUUAUUCCCAUUAGAGUCAUUGUGUUUAUUUAAAUUAAUGAAGGAAAUACGUUUUUUAGUAUAUUUACGGAUAAAUUCUAUUGGAUAAUUAUUAUUCAAUAGUAACUGUUCAACAAAUUGAAUGUUUUUUGAAUGAAAUUGCUUAUCUGACAACUUAACAGCUCUGUCAAUAAGAUUGUAUACAAUAGCAACUUUUUGUGAAAAUGGAUGUUUUGAUUUGUAAUUGAUAGUUCGUCCAGAAAAUGUAGGUUUUAAGAACCAGUCAGUAAUGAGCUUUUUAUUGUCAAUAAUAAUAAGAACAUCUAAAAAGUUUAUACUAUUGUUAUUUAACAUUUCAAAUGUAAAUUGUAAUCUUUCAUCAUAGCCGUUAAAUUAAUUAGUUUAAUUAAUAGUUUAAUUAAUAGUAUAAACUUUUUAGAUGUUCUUAUUAUUAUUGACAAUAAAAAGCUCAUUACUGACUGGUUCUUAAAACCUACAUUUUCUGGACGAACUAUCAAUUACAAAUCAAAACAUCCAUUUUCACAAAAAGUUGCUAUUGUAUACAAUCUUAUUGACAGAGCUGUUAAGUUGUCAGAUAAGCAAUUUCAUUCAAAAAACAUUCAAUUUGUUGAACAGUUACUAUUGAAUAAUAAUUAUCCAAUAGAAUUUAUCCGUAAAUAUACUAAAAAACGUAUUUCCUUCAUUAAUUUAAAUAAACACAAUGACUCUAAUGGGAAUAAUUAUAAUAAUAAUAGGACAAUAUACAAUAUGUUACCCAAGGUCUUUUUACCUUAUGUUCCUAAUCUUUUUGAGAAUGUUUCAUUCUUAUUAAAGAAUUACAACAUUUUAACUAUUCCUAUUAGUAAUAUUAAUAUGAGUCACAAUCUUAUCGUUAAAUAUAAAGACAAAAAUAAAAAAACUGAAAAUACUAAUACUGUUUAUAAGAUUAAUUGUCAUGAUUGCUCUGCCUCAUAUGUUGGACAGUCAAAAAGAAUGGUUGGCGUCCGAAUUAAUGAACAUAAAAAUUCUAAAGAUAAUAUAGUUGCACAUCAUUGUGAUUCUUUAAAACACAGAUUUGAUUUUGUUAAUUUUGCAAUUCUUGACAGAGAGGAUAAUUACAAAAAACGUUUAAUAUCAGAAAUGAUUUAUAUUAAUUUACAAAUUAACCCGAUUAAUAAAAGGGAUGACAUACAAAAUCUUAAUAAUUAUUAUACACACUUUCUCAAUGAAAAUAAAUACUCGUAAUCUUGUCAUAUUUUGAUGCUCUGACAUUUCUCUUAUUACCUAAUUUCUCUGUUUACUGAAAUGUCGUUGACCCUUCAUCGUCGAUUCUUUUCUUGUAUAUGUCUACUUCUUAAUAUUUUGUUUGCUCAGUGUCACAUUUCGCUUAUAGCGUGUAGGACGUUAUUUCAAUAAUGUGAACGCGUAAAUAUAUUCUUUUUUCUGUUUCUGAUGAGGACGGCAGCGCUGUCGAAACGUAAAAAGAGAGUUUUUUUUUUUAAUUUUUAACUUCCUUGACUCAGUGUGAUCGAUUACAUCAAAUUCUUACUAUUUAAUACGACUGAGUGAUAGAAUAAAUCCAUUAUUUUUAAUAAAUUAAAUUAUAAAUUAGUAUCAAAGCAAAAAUUCAAUAAAGAAGACUUUAUAUUAUUAGAUAUUAUACAUACGUAGGAAAACAUUAAUUAAGGUUUUUCUCUCAAAAUCAAUUUUAAUAAAAUAUUUUUGAUACUUUGAAGACAAGUUGAAAAAGACAUUAUUUUUUAUUAGAAAAAGGUCAACUCAAACAUCCGUCUAGUAAUAAAGUUUAUUAAUAAAUUCAAGUUUAAUAAUUUGACAUUGAAAAUGCAAGAUAUAGAUUAGUUCAUUCUACAUUUUAAAAGUGUAAUUAAAAAUUACUCAUAAAAAAUAAUAUAUUGUGCAUAAAUAUUGUAAGAAUUACGUUUCCAAAAAUUUAAGUAACUAGUUCAACUGUCUUACUCUACAACGAAUAUAAAUGAAAUAAUAUAUUUUCAUUUUUCUCAAUACACAAAACUUUUAAGCGUGACAGUAAAUGGGAGAAAAUCAUUUAAUAUAUAACAAGUGUUAUGUUAAGGUUAUUGUAAUCGAGGAACGCAACAGAUUUUAAAAAAGAAUUAUCGUAGAUUGACUAUGAGGAUAAAGAAUACUUUAAAUGAAUAUAACCAUAAAAAUAUAAUAAAUUACAUAAUUAAUAUUUCUCUCUCUCUCUCUCUGGCUUUUUUUAUUAAAAUAUUGUUACUAUAAAGUUAAAUGUAACUUAAUCACCACUUUGAACGUAAUUUUUUUUUUUAUUAUUUUAUUUUUAUUUUUAUUCUUUAUAAAUGAAUCUUUAAUUUAAAUAAAUUUGAUUUUAUAAUUAUUGUAAAUGAUGAUUUGAAAACAAGCUUUUCAACGCACUAAAGAACUUUGGCCUUACAGAAGGCAGCCGGUUUGGAGUUAUAUCAUUAAAGAAAUAAACAAAAACCGAUAUCAAAUUCGAAUUGUGAAAUACCGAAGAGUUCUCACUCAGUCUUUUCCACUUUUUUAAAAAGAUUACAUUCACACUGAUUUCUGCCUGAAAAUGAGAAUUUUCGUUCGAAAUUCGAAAAAAAAUUUCGUUCAUAAACUUUAUAUCAAAGCACGAAUUUUGGGUUGAAAAAAGAUUUUAAUACAUUAUACGAAUUAAUAAUGAAAUGCAAGCUGUAAGUAAAGAAACAAAAGGGACCUACGGAUUUAAAAAAUAAACUUUUACUUUUUUGCUUUUUUGAUAUUCUUAUAAUAGAUUCUGCACUCUUUUCAAUGCUACAAUAUUAAAGUAUAUUGAAAUCGACAUAUUAAAUUUUGGAAAUCUGAUCUGAUAACAGUUUUAUAAAUAGCGGGUCGAAAACUUCCAAGUAAUAAGUUUCAAGCUAUAAAAACUUUCAGGCGCAUCAAAAUUCACUUUUGAACUUCAACUUCACUUGUUGCUUUUCUCGAAAACUUAUAUAUUCGAACCGUAUGUCAAUUUAAACAUUUUUUGUGACAAAUACGUUUAAAACUGUACCUACUUAUAUUAAGAUGCGUUAUGAAAUUUGAGGUGACAUUGUAAUUACAUAAAAAAAGAAA
Long non-coding RNA from Leptopilina heterotoma, 3862 nucleotides. RefSeq lists it as uncharacterized. Lineage: Eukaryota; Metazoa; Arthropoda; Insecta; Hymenoptera; Figitidae. The record is from RefSeq and is a predicted model, not a curated record. The transcript has 2 exons.